CCCUUAGAUGUUCUGGGCGGCCCGCGCACUACAAUGGCGUGUGCAGCGAGUGCCGAAGUAGAGUUUUCCGAGGUAUUCUUGCAAUGCUCGUUUUGAUGGGGAUAGACCCUUGCAACUGUUGGUUUUGAACGAGGAAUUCCUUGUAAGCAUGGUUUAUCAUCCGACGCUGAAUGCGUCCCUGCCCUUUGUACACACCGCCCGUCGCUCCUACCGAUUGAGUGCUCAGGUGAAUAAUUCGGACUGCAGCAAUGUUCGGAUCCCGAACGUUGCAGCGGAAAGUUUAGUGAACCUUAUCACUUAGAGGAAGGAGAAGUCGUAACA
This 321-nucleotide ribosomal RNA is filed under the name uncultured eukaryote. Its description in RNAcentral is "partial 18S ribosomal RNA". It matches the Rfam family "Eukaryotic small subunit ribosomal RNA", at positions 1470 to 1796 of the family's 1831-position model. The record is from RNAcentral.